Molecule: ribosomal RNA, 408 nt
Filed under: uncultured bacterium
Lineage: Bacteria
Description: partial 16S ribosomal RNA
Rfam family: Bacterial small subunit ribosomal RNA
Source: RNAcentral
GACGAACGCUGGCGGCGUGCUUAACACAUGCAAGUCGAACGAAGUGGCGAACGGGUGAGUAACGCGUAAUCCACCUGCCCUUCAGAGGGGGACCACAGUUGGAAACGACUGCUACUACCGACUACUGCAGGUGGGGGUUGCGUCUGCUUAGCUAGUUGGAGGGGUAACGGCCCACUAGGGCGAUGAGCAGUAGCCGGUCUGAGAGGAUGAACGGCCACAUUGGGACUGAGACACGGCCCAGACUGCUACGGGAGGCAGCAGUGGGGAAUCUUCCGCAAUGGACGAAAGUCUGACGGAGCAACGCCGCGUGAGUGAUGACGGCCUUCGGGUUGUAAAGCUCUGUUAAUCGGGACGCGGUACCGGAAUAGAAAGCCACGGCUAACUACGUGCCAGCAGCCGCGGUAAUUC